GAAAUAGUAUUAUGGGAAGUUGAUGAAAGUGGUACACUGUCUAUAAUAAUGGACAUAGAAACUCCCAAGGUGGCUGAAGUUGUAAGUUUUGAUAAAUAUAGGAAGAUGUGGUAUGAGUGCCAAUGAGACCAAUCUCCAUCCAAGUCACAAUUUAUAAAAGAAAGCCAUUAUAGGUCAAGGUACAGUCUUCAACAAGGAGCCUUGGCCCAAAAUGAACAGCAAACUAUGAUGCUCCCCAAAAAUUACUAGUGUGAAACCAUUCAAAAGGGAAAACACACGGUAUAAAUUUACACAUUGCUUUGUAAUUGAUUCCUGGGAGACUGUCGUUUGUUGAUUUGUUGAGGUCAUGCCUUGGUAAUAUUCUCAAUUUAUGCUUAACAUGCUUAAGGACUUCGUAAAACUACUUGAAUAAGAAGUUAGUUCAAAUGUCUUUUUAUUGAUUUUACCAGGGUAAACACAUUUGAUGAAUAAAGAAAAAUGUACUUUUCUGAUUGCUUACCUUUGGAGUAUUUAGAAAUUCCACAUGUCAGCAAAUUUGCUUGCGUGGGUAAACUUUUCCUAUUAAUUCCCCAAAAUAUAUACCCCCACAAAUAACAUGAAUAAUAAGUAAUCCACUGAAUAGGCUGAAGCCUCAUAAUGAAAUAUUUGUUUAUUUUUCAGCGUCUGCUACUGGGGAAAGAAGGAGUUAACAUCAGGAAUAUAUCACAAGAAGCAAAACAAGGACUACUAAAUACUUUUAGAUGUGAACUUAACCUCAGACUACAAAUUAAACUGGCAAAAACAGCCAGAAAGUAAACAUCGGAAUAAUUAAAUGCAUCUAGGUGUGAACUUGAUAUGAGACUGCAUAUAAAACUUGCCAAAACAGCAUGGAAGUAAAACAAGGGAUACUUAAUGCAUUUAGGUGUAAACUUAAUCAUGAUAAUCCGAGACUGCAAAUUAAACUUGCAAAAACAGCUAGCAUAGAGUGGAACAAAGAUAGCUAAAUGUAUUUAUACGUGAAUUUUGAUCUGAAUCUGAAAUAAAAUUAGCCAAGAAGUAACACCAGGGUUACUUUAUGCAUUAAGGUGUAAACUUAAUAUUUGACUGCAAAUAAAAAUUAUCAAAACAA
Molecule: long non-coding RNA, 1108 nt
Filed under: Mytilus galloprovincialis (Mediterranean mussel)
Lineage: Eukaryota; Metazoa; Mollusca; Bivalvia; Mytilida; Mytilidae
Source: RNAcentral